GAAAUCAACAACCCAACUGUAAGGAGAAAGACGGCGAUCAGUUGUUAAAAUGAAAAGGUAAGCUGUGUUGAAAUUGUGAUGGAAGGAAAAAUUGGAGGGAGAAAUGGCGGUAUAUAACACAGGUGAUAGAGGCUAACAACAAAGCUAACACUUUAACACCUCCUAACCCUCUGAAAUGGCUCUGAUGAUAUCAAAAUUCUAAACCCCAAAAUUACAGAAAGAUCAACACUUUCAAAAAAGAAAAAAAAAUUCAAAAAAAAAAAAAGCUUAAAAAAGGAAAAUCUAAACAAAACAGAGCUUCCUAGAGAAGGGCUAGGCGCAACCAUAACUCUCUUCAGACCUGAUCUUAUAUAAACGUCAAAUUACUUUUUUUUCUUCUUCUCUUUCUUCUCUUUUCUUUUUUCCUAUCUUUUUUGAGCCGGGCUUGAGACCGGCCCAUUAAGACGUAAGCCCAUUUCAUCCUUCAUUUCUGAUAUUUUUUAUGGGCUGAUCAUACAUAAAUGGCAAAUCUUUAUUUAAUUUAAUAAAAUAGCAAAAUCCAAAACAGCCAAUGUAAAAAAAUAUAUAUAUAUUAAUAAUAAUAAUCCUAAAUACAAUUGUUCAAUAAACCACAAAUACUCUAUAAUUAAAAUCGAACUCCCAACACACAAUUAACACCUAUCAACAUCAAACUUCCAUUAAUUGGAGCUUCCACCUCGUCCCCUUCAAACCUUUCAAACUCUUCAUAUUUGGAUUUUCUUCUUAUCGGCUUAUCUGAUCGAAGACUUUGAAAUUUUCAUCUUGCUUGCUCCUUCGACUAGAAACUCACGUGUCGAACAACCUACUAAAAACUCCAAGAAGAACCACGACUAUAAAACAGAACACCCACGACGAAACUCAUAGUGAAACUCGCUGGGAACGCCACUCAAUCCUUCUAUCCUCCUGUCUGUGGCUAAAUUCGUGAAUGUCGACUAAACCUGACUCCAACAAACUCUGAAACGUCAAAACCCACUGCAAAUCCACGAUUAAUGUCACAAAGCUUUCGAAACGAAUGCUAGAGCCGUCGUAAACAGCCCCAAAAUUGUCAACUUCUAUCUGUCGACCAACGUCUCUCUUCCUGUUGGAACGCCACCGCACUCUUCUCUAUCAAUCUUUUUUGCUAGAAAAAACUUUCAUUCUACUGUGGUUUUUAGCUUUCGGCUGCCCCCUCUUCCUAUUCGUCCAACUUUUCUUUUCUCUAAUUUAAAAGACUCACGGAAGAAGAUUCAAUUAAUUGCAAAAAUACCAUUGAGACAUAAUUACAAUUUCACCGUCAACAUAAAACCCAUUUUAAAACAAAAAGUUUUGAAUCUUUCAGAUACUUUUGAAAUCUUUUAUGUUUUAACGUUUUUCAAUUUAUAUGUCUUCAAUAUUGGUGAUUUGUUAAAAUUGAGCUAUCCUUAGUGAUCAACUUACAAUAUAUAAUGCUUAAUGAAUGGAUAGAAAAAUGAAGAGGAAAAAAAAUAUUUAAGGUCGUUUAAGGAAUUGUAAUAAUUAUUGUUAUUAUUAAUAAAUCGUUUAAAAUAUAACAACCUCAUAUAUAUAUUUUUUAUUAUUAUAGGGAGGUUGCUGCAAUAUUGUCCAACAACAAAAUAACAUAUUUAGUUAAGAUUUACUAAAUUUAAAUGUUGUUUGUAAAAUACGGUGUCUUUAUGUUAUUUUCAAUAUCUUGUCUCAUUUUUUUGAGUUAUUCAAAUACAUAUAUGAUUAUUCUAUACCGAGUGGAAUUAUAUUAUAUCUUGAUGACCAAAAUUUUUGUUUAUAACAUUCAUACUCCACGUAUAAAUGAGAUUCAUAUAAAAACUAUUGAUUAUGUGAGAGAAAUGUUAUUUGAAUUAAUAUGAUUCGAAUUAAAUUAAAUAUGAUAUUUAGAGUUAUUAAUUCUUUAAUUGUUAAUUAAAUUUAAUAUAUAACUUAAAAUUAAAAGUAAAAUGAGAACAUGGUGGAGAGGAGUUGUAAAUCAUUUGUAAUUGCUUCUCCAUCUCUCUCCUCUCACGUAACAAAAGGGUUUUGCUACACAGAGAAGGAUUAAGGAUCCAAUCAUGAAUUUGUUCUCUACAAAAAUUCUCUUAUAACACCCUUUUUCUUUUUAUUUAAUAAGGAUUUCACACCUCCAACUUGUUAUUUAUUUGAAAAACCAUGCAGUUUCUAGCAUCGAAGGUCAUUGCUUCAAAUUAAGAAUGCUUAACUAUGAAGUUAUUAACAUUGGACCCACAAUGCAACUUGUUGAUAUAACUAAUAACGAUUUUUAGUUUUUUUUAAGUCUUUCUUAAACAUACUUUCAUAUAUCCCCAAGAUUCUUCUCACUCAAAUUUGAUGUCAGUCUAUUCAUAUCUCACAUCCUAAAUUUGAGGCGUGUUACAUCAACUUCUGCUUGGUUUGUCCUCGAAUCACAUUUUGCUAAGAGAGGUUCUGUUCUAAUACUAUUUGUAACGAACUCGAUAAUCUAAGACUAUUGAUAGGGUCAUUACCUUAUUAAGAAAUUCAUGAAUGGUAAAUGGUUAUAGUGAGAUGAAAUAUAUCGAUGUACUUGUAUAUUCGAGACAUAAAAAUUGAAUUUUGUAGCUAACGAAACGUUCAAUUAUCCAUUUUAUGUCAAUAGGUUAAUGAAGUUUAUAAAAUAAUGUCUAGGUCAAUGAUUUAUUAUACAAAAUUACAACUCCAAUGAUGUAUUAGAUAUACAAUAGAAAGUUUAAGGCCUUUGCUUGGACACCAAUUUUAAUAUUCAAUUUCCAUUAGACACUUGGAAAGUUUAAUCAAGUUUGCAAAUCUUUAAUACCUAAUAGCUAUUACUUUGCACGUGGUCAUCAUUUAUCUGAGGAAAAAAGCAAAAUAUUGCAAUUUAAUUGUAAUGGAUCGUGAUGGACUACUAUGUAUGAUUUUAUCAUGAUCGUGACAGACUACUAUGUAUGAUUUUAUCAUGAUCCAGAAAGACAUAAAUAGCUUUGUCAUUUGAAAUAACUUUCCUAAAAAAAUCAAGAAAUUGUAUUUCCAGUUUGUGUUCUAAUUUGACCAUCACUUCUGAUAUUGUUAAACGCCUUUCUUCCUACACAGCAAAUCACUUAAGAUUCUACAAAAUUGCAGUGUUGAGUGUCCUUGUAGAGUGGCAUCACACUUUCAACCUGAGAUUCCUUUAAUCCUAGUAACUGUCCAGUCACUCUAUUCAACAUGGAACAUAUCUCCAUCAUUUCUGGAUGAGAUGGAUCCCCGACAAGAAACUCGUGAACAAUGCCAUCAACUUCGAUCAAGCUACACCCAGGCAUCUUCUUCACUCCAAGUUCUUUCAUUUUCCUUCUCACUUUCUUUGCAUCUUCCCACCUAUCGACAGAAGCAUAUAUAUUCGCAAGAAGUGUGUGAAUGCUAGAAUCACAUGAUUCAAUGUUCUCCAGUUUUUUGGCCAGCCUUUCACCCAUGUCAACAUUAUUGUGGAUUCUACAAGCACUGAGCAAAGCACCAUACAGAGGAACCACAAUUUCGCAAUUUUCAAUCGGAAUCUCUUGUAUGAGUUCCUCUGCUUCAUCCAAUAACCCAGCUCUACCAAGAAGGUCAAUUACACACCCAUAAUGCUCUACCUUCGGCUCAAUUCGGUGAACCUUUUUCAUCGAGUUGAAAAACCUACGCCCUUCCUCAACCAGCCCACCAUGACUACAGGCACUUAAAACUCCAAUGAAGGUGAUAUCAUCAGGUUUAGCCCCCACACGUUCCAUUUCUGAGAACAGCCGGAGUGCUUCACUCGUCUUACCAUUCAUUGCAAGACCGCAUAUAAUUGAGGUCCAAGAUGCCGUGUCCUUGUCUUCUAACUCAUAGAAAAUUUCUAAUGAUUUAUCUACACAACCACAUUUGGAAUACAUUUCAAUGAGUGCAGUACCAACAACCACAUCCAUUGUUAUUCUGUUUUCAUCUAGGUAUCCAUGAAUCCAUUUCCCUUGUUCUAGAGCUCCCAACUGCGCGCAACCUGUGAGGAGAGUGACCACUGUGAACUUAUCAGGUUUUACCCUUUGAAUUUGCAUUUCGCGAAACAGAGCCACAGCAUCAUCAAAAUGGUGGAACUGCACAUACCCAUUUAUCAUAGCUGUCCACAAAACAACAUCUCUAACUGGACUUUUGUCAAACAAGUCUCUAGCCUCUCUUAAAUCACCACAGUUUAUAUAGCCAGAGAUCAUGCUAGUCCAACAAAUUACAUUUUUCAUAGACAUUUCAUCAAAUAUGUUGCGGGCAAUAUUUAGACAACCACAUUUUGCAUACAUAUCUAAUAAGGCAUUGUCGAUUCGAGUGGUAAAACCAAGCUCCUUUCUAACAUAGUUGUGAAUUUCAUCUCCAAGCUCCAGAUUUUUCAGUGCUGUACAAGCAGAAAGAGUGCUAACUACAGUAGCUUCAUCAGGUUUCUCAUUGCCCUCUUGCUGCAUUUCCCUAAAUGUAUUGAUAGCAUCCUCAAAUCUACGACACCUAACAUACCCAGAAAUCAUAACAUUCCAAGAAACCGAAUCUCUAGUCGUCAUUUCAUCAAAUAACUUCUUAGCAUUCUCAACAUUGCUUAAUUCAUAAUACAUAUCUAUAAGUGAAUUAUAGACAUAAUUAUCCAAAUCCAUUCCUGUCUUCACUAUAAAGCCACGAACCUUUUCACCUUGCCUCACGUCCCGUAAGCAACCAAUAGCUUUCAGAACAAAUGGGUAAGUAAAACCAUCAGGCCACAAUCCAUCUUCCCUCAACUGUUGAAAGAGCAAAAGGACUUUUCUGAGAAUACCCCUUUUGGCAUACAUUUUAACCAUCACAUUAUAAACAAACAGAGAUGGGUCUUGAACAUAAUUGAAUAUCUUCUCUGCAUAGCGCAAGUUGCCAAGAGAUGAGUCUGCACAGAAUGCCAUCAAUUUGUUUAUUGUGUCCCUGUCUCCUUCAAGACCAAUUCGAAAGAUCUGACUCUGAAUUUGUUUGAGUUGAUCCAUGGACUUGCAGUUCCGAAGACACUCGAUGCAUGAUUUCUUUGUUAGUUUGGAGAUUCGAAGCAGAACUGGAACUAAAUGGGGGCUUGAAGAAAAAUGACGGGAUAUAAACUGGACUCUUCGAAUGAUUGAUAAAGGAAGCAUGUGCGAGCUUUGUGAGUGUUUGAAGAAUUGGAAAAUCUAAUAAAACAAACAGAAAGAACACGUUAGUUCAUAGGAUAUUAUCUUAUGCAGGGAUGUGUGUGUAACAAGAAAGUGAUAAAGAUAUGCCACUAAUAAAAGCAUGCUUAAUUACCUCUGAAAAAGCAAAGGCACAAUCAAAAUGCUUCUGCUCGAAUGAGUGCACUACACCUCCAGGUUAAUGCAUCCUAUACUUUCCUGUAAGUUUAAUCACAAUAUGCAGGAAUGAUUUCAAUCUUCAUUGUCCACAAAAUCACUAGAAAGAAACAUUUAACUUUCCUUUCAAAUAAGGUGUUAUUUACUUAUUAUUAUUAUAGGAAAUGGAGUAACAUUUAACAAACAAUAUCCUGUCAUCAAAAUAAAGCUUACGAAUAAUCAAUCACAAAAUAAUUACGACAAACUCUACCAUAUGCCCAAGAAAAGGGUGAGGAGUAAGAAGGUGGUGCAGUCUAGAGGAAGCAAAUGCUUGGGGGAAUGGAAAAAGACCACAAUGAGUACUUCAGCCAAAAAGUCAUGGUGCAAAUGCAAUAGCAAGAAAGUCAAAAUAAAAUUAAUAACUGAUUUUAUUCAUUGAUAUUAUUUUUAGCUAUUAAAAAAAGGACCUAUAAAACGAUCUUUCAUGAUCAUAGAUUCAUUUCAAAGAAAGUCAAAAUAAAAUCAUUGAGUACCCAUACAUCCCAAUUCAUCUUUGUGUAUAACCCACUGAAUCAAGAAAUUUAAAAAGUAAACAGAAUACGCACUUUCCACUGGAUUAGAAAUCUAGGACCCUUUUCAAUUCUUUUUUUUUCUUUCCUUCAAUCCCUCUAGAAAUAAAACAUAAUUCAUCAACUUGUGUCAAAAAGAAAGUUGGCCUGAGUGCCAUCACUCAAAUAAAAGCAAGCAAUAUUUGAUAAUCAUAACGAGGAAACACAUAGGAAAUUGAAAAUGCUAAAUGUAUAUAUAGAAGAAUACACAGACCAAAAAGCAGAACUCAGAAGAUGGGAAUCAAAUUAAUUAGAAUUUGAUACGAUGAUUUAUUAUAAGUAAAAAUUCCAGAUCUACACGGAUCGGUUAAUCUAAAAAAGCUAUGAAAAAUUGCUACUCCCAAUCAAUGCUAUAAGCAUUAUUUAAGAUUUCCUCUCCUCAGUUCUGAGAGAAGAUAUCUAAUUUAAUUAUAUACCGCAUACAAUGUUAUGACACUGAAAAGUCAAUAAUAUGUCGGUUCUUAAAACGUAUCAUGAAAACCAAUGAGAAGGACAUACGCUGAAAAAUUAGCAGAACCAGUAGCAGCACGUAAAGCAUUGGUAUCCAGACAACAACUCCAAACUGCGCCUUUGUGACCUUCAAAUGUACCAAUCCAAUCACCAUUUUCACCAUUUCUAAGCAUGGGAUUGGAAUCUGAAUGGGAAUAACAUAUUUAUAAGGCAACCCAUAAAAGUAAACUCCGGAUUAAGCUUUGAGCAAACGACAUGGGAUUCAUUCAACAAAUCUCCCAUCAAAAAAGCUAAAAUAGCAAUACCCACAUCUAGGACAACUAUCAAUCAAAGUCAAAAGAACUGACACUGGACAAAAAAAAAAAGAUCCAAAAUCAUAAUUAAUAUCCAGAAAAUUUGGCGAUACAUAAAUUAAAGUCUUAAAUCAAAGCAAAAGUUUUAAAUCUUGAAUCAUACCCUUGCUGGCACUGACGAGGAAGAAUCCAUCGGGCGUAACAAGGCUAGAAAAUAGAUCGACAAUCGGUCGAGAAUGACCAUGGCAAACGAGAGGAAUAGCCACUCUCUUCUUAUCCAUGUCAGACAAAAAAAAAAUUAUACUAAACUAGAGUUGUAUAAAACCUAGAAAUAAACUGUAGAUUUGUUGUGUUUUUAUUGAUGAUUGGUUUUAAAGGUGUGAUUGAAGAAGAAAUAAGGAAAUGAAAACCCAAAAGCUGAAAAUCCAAAGAAAUCAACAACCCAACUGUAAGGAGAAAGACGGCGAUCAAUUGUUAAAAUGAAAAGGUAAGCGGUGUUGAAAUUGUGAUGGAAGGAAAAUUGGAGGGAGAAAUGGCGGUAUAUAACACAGGUGAUGGAGGCUAACAACAAAACUAACACUUUAACACCUCCUAACCCUCUGAAAUGGCUCUGACAAUAUCAUAAUUCUAAACCCCAAAAUUACAGAAAGAUCAACACUUC
Molecule: long non-coding RNA, 7285 nt
Filed under: Cucumis sativus (cucumber)
Lineage: Eukaryota; Viridiplantae; Streptophyta; Magnoliopsida; Cucurbitales; Cucurbitaceae
Description: long non-coding RNA (CSAT_LNC000310)
Source: RNAcentral